This 449-nucleotide ribosomal RNA is filed under the name uncultured bacterium. RNAcentral's name for it is "bacterial SSU rRNA". It matches the Rfam family "Bacterial small subunit ribosomal RNA", at positions 354 to 796 of the family's 1533-position model. The record is from RNAcentral.
GUAGGGAAUCUUCCGCAAUGGACGCAAGUCUGACGGAGCAACGCCGCGUGAGUGAUGAAGGUUUUCGGAUCGUAAAGCUCUGUUGCCCUAGACGAACAGCAAGGCGAGUAACUGCGCUUUGUGUGACGGUAUAGGAGAAGAAAGCCCCGGCUAACUACGUGCCAGCAGCCGCGGUAAUACGUAGGGGGCAAGCGUUGUCCGGAAUUAUUGGGCGUAAAGCGCGCGCAGGCGGUUAAUUAAGUUGGGUGUUUAAGCCCGGGGCUCAACCCCGGUUCGCAUCCAAAACUGGUUGACUUGAGUGUAGGAGAGGAAAGUGGAAUUCCACGUGUAGCGGUGAAAUGCGUAGAGAUGUGGAGGAACACCAGUGGCGAAGGCGACUUUCUGGCCUAUAACUGACGCUGAGGCGCGAAAGCGUGGGGAGCAAACAGGAUUAGAUACCCUAGUAGUCC